This 229-nucleotide ribosomal RNA is filed under the name uncultured bacterium. Its description in RNAcentral is "partial 16S ribosomal RNA". It matches the Rfam family "Bacterial small subunit ribosomal RNA", at positions 568 to 796 of the family's 1533-position model. The record is from RNAcentral.
UCCGUAGGCGGGCGUCUAAGUCAGUGGUGAAAUCUUACAGCUCAACUGUAAAAUUGCCAUUGAUACUGGAUGUCUUGAAUUAGUGUGAAGUGGUUAGAAUGUGUAGUGUAGCGGUGAAAUGUAUAGAUAUUACACAGAAUACCAAUUGCGAAGGCAGAUCACUAACACUAUAUUGACGCUGAGGGACGAAAGCGUGGGGAGCGAACAGGAUUAGAUACCCUGGUAGUCC